ACGGGAGGCAGCAGUGGGGAAUAUUGGACAAUGGGGGAAACCCUGAUCCAGCGACGCCGCGUGAGUGAAGAAGUAUUUCGGUAUGUAAAGCUCUAUCAGCAAGAAAGAAAAUGACGGUACUUGACUAAGAAGCCCCGGCUAACUACGUGCCAGCAGCCGCGGUAAUACGUAGGGGGCAAGCGUUAUCCGGAUUUACUGGGUGUAAAGGGAGCGUAGACGGCGAUGCAAGUCUGAAGUGAAAGCCCGGGGCUCAGCCCCGGAACUGCUUUGGAAACUGUAUAGCUAGAGUGCAGGAGAGGUAUGUGGAAUUCCUAGUGUAGCGGUGAAAUGCGUAGAUAUUAGGAGGAACACCAGUGGCGAAGGCGACAUACUGGACUGUAACUGACGUUGAGGCUCGAAGGCGUGGGGAGCAAACAGGAUUAGAUACCCUGGUA
Molecule: ribosomal RNA, 434 nt
Filed under: uncultured Clostridium sp.
Lineage: Bacteria; Bacillati; Bacillota; Clostridia; Eubacteriales; Clostridiaceae
Description: partial 16S ribosomal RNA
Rfam family: Bacterial small subunit ribosomal RNA
Source: RNAcentral